This 266-nucleotide ribosomal RNA is filed under the name uncultured Pseudomonas sp. Its description in RNAcentral is "partial 16S ribosomal RNA". It matches the Rfam family "Bacterial small subunit ribosomal RNA", at positions 1124 to 1382 of the family's 1533-position model. Lineage: Bacteria; Pseudomonadati; Pseudomonadota; Gammaproteobacteria; Pseudomonadales; Pseudomonadaceae. The record is from RNAcentral.
CGUUAUGGUGGGCACUCUAAGGGAGACUGACCGGGUGGACAAACCGGAGGAAGGUGGGGAUGACGUCAAGUCCAUCAUGGCCCUUACGGCCUGGGCUACACACGUGCUACAAUAGGUCGGGUACAAAGGGUUGCCAAGCCGCGAGGUGGAGCUAAUCCCAUAAAACCGAUCGUAGUCCGGAUCGCAGUCUGCAACUCGACUGCGUGAAGUCGGAAUCGCUAGUAAUCGUGAAUCAGAAUGUCACGGUGAAUACGUUCCCGGGCCUU